This 77-nucleotide transfer RNA is filed under the name Podarcis lilfordi (Lilford's wall lizard). RNAcentral's name for it is "tRNA.Lys". The stretch from base 12 to 69 matches the Rfam family "tRNA", at positions 8 to 63 of the family's 71-position model. From Rfam's summary of the family: Transfer RNA (tRNA) molecules are approximately 80 nucleotides in length. Their secondary structure includes four short double-helical elements and three loops (D, anti-codon, and T loops). The record is from RNAcentral. Lineage: Eukaryota; Metazoa; Chordata; Lepidosauria; Squamata; Lacertidae.
AGCCACCUUGGUAGCUCAGUCAGUAGAGGAUGAGACUCUUAAUCUCAGCGUUGUGGGUUCGAGCCCCAUGUUGGUCA